RNAcentral lists this ribosomal RNA (301 nucleotides) under uncultured bacterium. RNAcentral's name for it is "bacterial SSU rRNA". It matches the Rfam family "Bacterial small subunit ribosomal RNA", at positions 8 to 313 of the family's 1533-position model. The record is from RNAcentral.
AGAGUUUGAUCGUGGCUCAGAUUGAACGCUGGCGGCAGGCCUAACACAUGCAAGUCGAGCGGUAACAGGGGGUGCUUGCACUCUGCUGACGAGCGGCGGACGGGUGAGUAAUACUUGGGUAUCUGCCCGAUAGUGGGGGGCAACACGGGGAAACUCGUGCUAAUACCGCAUACGCCCUACGGGGGAAAGCAGGCUUCGGCUUGCGCUAUCGGAUGAGCCCAAGUCGGAUUAGCUAGUUGGUGAGGUAAAGGCUCACCAAGGCGACGAUCCGUAACUGGUCUGAGAGGAUGAUCAGUCACAC